RNAcentral lists this ribosomal RNA (253 nucleotides) under uncultured bacterium. Its description in RNAcentral is "partial 16S ribosomal RNA". It matches the Rfam family "Bacterial small subunit ribosomal RNA", at positions 524 to 776 of the family's 1533-position model. The record is from RNAcentral.
UACGAAGGGGGCUAGCGUUGCUCGGAAUUACUGGGCGUAAAGGGCGCGUAGGCGGAUCGUUAAGUCUUCUGUGAAAUCUACGGGCUUAGCCUGUAACGUGCAGAGGAAACUAGCGGGCUUGAGUGUCGGAGAGGAUAGGGGAAUACCCAGUGUAGAGGUGAAAUUCGUAGAGAUUGGGUGGAACACCAGUGGCGAAGGCGCCUAUCUGGCUGACAACUGACGCUGAGACUCGAAAGCAUGGGGAGCAAACAGG